RNAcentral lists this transfer RNA (53 nucleotides) under Pilea johniana. RNAcentral describes it as "partial tRNA-Leu". Lineage: Eukaryota; Viridiplantae; Streptophyta; Magnoliopsida; Rosales; Urticaceae. The record is from RNAcentral. RNAcentral also lists the same sequence under 3 other names.
AAUCCGUCGACUUUCAAAAUCGUGAGGGUUCAAGUCCCUCUAUCCCCAAAAAG